This 974-nucleotide long non-coding RNA is filed under the name Apteryx rowi (Okarito brown kiwi). Its description in RNAcentral is "lncRNA (ENSARWG00000012139.1)". The record is from RNAcentral. Lineage: Eukaryota; Metazoa; Chordata; Aves; Apterygiformes; Apterygidae.
GAUCUCCUCCUACAUCCUACACCAGAGAGACGAAUUCCUCGUGGCUGCUGAGGGCCUGUGUCCUCUCUCCUCACCCAUGACGUUAUGUAGUAUGAUGCUCUAACAUGUGGAAGGGGUUACCUGUGGCCUGGGUCAGAAAAUGGGGACCAGGAGUGACAGAGUUUCUGGAGUGGCAGCUCCAUUCCUAAAAAGGGAAGGGAUGAGAGAAGGUUUUUAGGCCCUAACUUUAUGAUAGCUGAGCGUAAGGAUGCUGCCUUCUUACGACGCAUGGUCCCUUUGGCUUGGGAUGGUAGUGCGCCAGCGGGACGCUAGAAGAGGUUGGCGGGCCUGAGGUUCGUUCUGUCCUUGCUCCGUGGAUUCGGCUGCUGAUCAAGCAACUUCCCCAAGCCUGAAGUGAAUUUUGCUGGAAAAGACGUGGAAAGCAAUUUGAGCUUGCACUUGUUUUUGGGAGAAGAAAUACGCAAUAGAUUAUGUUUUGUUGAAGAUCACAACUGAAUGCUCUUCAUCUUUCUCCUCUUGAAUCUUGGAAACAUAAAAUUUGGACUCUGUGUCAAUAGGAGUAUCUAUACAGUAUUGUCCAUCCAGUAAGAACCAGACCUCAAAAGACAUUUCUAGCAUUUAUGAAAGUUUAAUGAAUUUAGGAAUUUGGCAGUGACAUUUUUUAUCCUGGAGUUGUGUCCAAUUGCCAGCAUUGCACCUUCCUGUCUUAGCCCUGGAUAUGCUUGUGGCUGUUUUUAAGGGGAAUAUACUGUUUAAUGCUCAUUGGGACUGGACAGUCGGGCCUGUCCGAAGCAUUGGGAGGUUUUGAGGCAGCAAAAUGCAACCAAAGCGGCUCUCCCGUUACUGAGGACAAAACCCCGGGAGGCUAUUUCACCCAGUUGCUUCCCGUUCCAGGACUGAAGAGGAAGAAAGGCGAGGCAUGGAAAACAAACUCCCAAUCCUCUGAAGCUCUUUCUAGUGAGAUGCAGACAUAG